GAUGAAGAACGCAGCGAAAUGCGAUAAGUAAUGUGAAUUGCAGAAUUCCAGUGAGUCAUCGAAUCUUUGAACGCACAUUGCGCCCUUUGGUAUUCCGAAGGGCAUGCCUGUUCGAGCGUCAUUAUCACCCCUCAAGCCCUCGGCUUGGUGUUGGACGGUUUGGUGGAGGCCCCCUCGGGGGCUCCUGCCCCUCCCAAAGACAAUGACGGCGGCCUCGUUGGACCCCCGGUACACUGAGUUCUUCACGGGACACGUAUCGGACACAUGGGUUUACGGGACACGGUCUGCCUCCCCUCAAGGGAGAAUCUUUCUAAGGUUGACCUCGGAUCAGGUAGGGAUACCCGCUGAACUUAAGCAUAUCAAUAAGCGGAGGA
RNAcentral lists this unclassified non-coding RNA (374 nucleotides) under soil metagenome. RNAcentral's name for it is "partial contains 5.8S ribosomal RNA, internal transcribed spacer 2, and large subunit ribosomal RNA". The stretch from base 1 to 121 matches the Rfam family "5.8S ribosomal RNA", at positions 35 to 154 of the family's 154-position model. The record is from RNAcentral.